Molecule: long non-coding RNA, 860 nt
Filed under: Homo sapiens (human)
Lineage: Eukaryota; Metazoa; Chordata; Mammalia; Primates; Hominidae
Description: non-protein coding lnc-CLHC1-3:2
Source: RNAcentral
ACAGCAGAUGCAUCCAGAGAUCCUUAUGUUUUUAUUCAUUCAUUAGGAACACUGCUUGGUUAUCUUGAGUUGCCAGUUUAAUAGUUUUUUGAGUGUUUAUUCCUCCCAAAUCAUUCCGUUCUUUUUGAAAAGUUGUAUAUUUCCCUUUUCAGCUCUCAUUUCACUCUUCAGUGUUCCUGUUAUUUAUGAACGGCAUCAGGUAAUUUCCUAACUAACUGCUGACUUCAGAAUAGAGCACUCACUCUAUUACAUGGGAUUUACGGAUGUAUUAGUGCCCAUUUUCAAUGUCUUACAAAAAUGAGAAGUGUGAUGGUUUCUUAAGCCUUUAGCUUGACACAUAGUAGUGGUUAAUAAGAUUCUUUAGCAACGGUAAUAAUUCCUUUAUACCUCUCUUUCAGGCACAGAUAGAUCAUUAUCUAGGACUUGCAAAUAAGAAUGUUAAAGAUGCUAUGGCUAAAAUCCAAGCAAAAAUCCCUGGAUUGAAGCGCAAAGCUGAAUGAAAACGCCCAAAAUAAUUAGUAGGAGUUCAUCUUUAAAGGGGAUAUUCAUUUGAUUAUACGGGGGAGGGUCAGGGAAGAACGAACCUUGACGUUGCAGUGCAGUUUCACAGAUCGUUGUUAGAUCUUUAUUUUUAGCCAUGCACUGUUGUGAGGAAAAAUUACCUGUCUUGACUGCCAUGUGUUCAUCAUCUUAAGUAUUGUAAGCUGCUAUGUAUGGAUUUAAACCGUAAUCAUAUCUUUUUCCUAUCUAUCUGAGGCACUGGUGGAAUAAAAAACCUGUAUAUUUUACUUUGUUGCAGAUAGUCUUGCCGCAUCUUGGCAAGUUGCAGAGAUGGUGGAGCUAGAAAAAAAAAAAAAAAA